CCUACGGGAGGCUGCAGUGAGGAAUAUUGGUCAAUGGACGCAAGUCUGAACCAGCCAAGUAGCGUGCAGGAUGACGGCCCUCCGGGUUGUAAACUGCUUUUAGUUGGGAAUAAAAGGGGGCUCGUGAGCCCCGUAUUGUAUGUACCAUCAGAAAAAGGACCGGCUAAUUCCGUGCCAGCAGCCGCGGUAAUACGGAGGCUGCGAGCGUUAUCCGGUGUUAUUGGGUUUACGGGGUGAGUAGGCGGAAUGCCAAGUCAGCGGGAAUCUCGCGGUGCUCAACCUCGCACCGCCGUUGACACUGGCGUUAUGGAGUGGGCGAGAAGUAUGCGGAAUGCGUGGUGUAGCGGUGAAAUGCAUAGAUAUCACGCAGAACUCCGAUUGCGAAGGCAGCAUACCGGCGCCCAACUGACGCUGAAGCACGAAAGCGUGGGUAUCGAACAGGAUUAGAUACCCGGGUAGUC
RNAcentral lists this ribosomal RNA (461 nucleotides) under uncultured bacterium. RNAcentral's name for it is "partial 16S ribosomal RNA". It matches the Rfam family "Bacterial small subunit ribosomal RNA", at positions 338 to 795 of the family's 1533-position model. The record is from RNAcentral.